This 847-nucleotide ribosomal RNA is filed under the name Sarea resinae. RNAcentral describes it as "partial large subunit ribosomal RNA". It matches the Rfam family "Eukaryotic large subunit ribosomal RNA", at positions 72 to 936 of the family's 3401-position model. The record is from RNAcentral. Lineage: Eukaryota; Fungi; Ascomycota; Sareomycetes; Sareales; Zythiaceae.
GGAUUGCCUCAGUAACGGCGAGUGAAGCGGCAACAGCUCAAAUUUGAAAUCUGGCUCCUUCGGGGUCCGAGUUGUAAUUUGUAGAGGAUGCUUCGGGUGUGGCUCCGGUCUAAGUUCCUUGGAACAGGACGUCAUAGAGGGUGAGAAUCCCGUAUGUGACUGGAAGCCUUCGUCCAUGUGAAGCUCCUUCGACGAGUCGAGUUGUUUGGGAAUGCAGCUCAAAAUGGGUGGUAAAUUUCAUCUAAAGCUAAAUACUGGCCAGAGACCGAUAGCGCACAAGUAGAGUGAUCGAAAGAUGAAAAGCACUUUGGAAAGAGAGUUAAAAAGUACGUGAAAUUGUUGAAAGGGAAGCGCUUGCAACCAGACUUGCUCGCGGUUGCUCAGCCGGUGUUCUCACCGGUGCACUCUUCCGCGAUCAGGCCAGCAUCGGUUUGGGCGGCUGGAUAAAGGCUUCGGGAAUGUGGCUCCUCUCGGGGAGUGUUAUAGCCCGGGGUGCAAUGCAGCCCGCCCGGAUCGAGGACCGCGCUUCGGCUAGGAUGCUGGCGUAAUGGUUGUAAGCGACCCGUCUUGAAACACGGACCAAGGAGUCUAACAUCUAUGCGAGUGUUUGGGUGUCAAACCCAUGCGCGUAAUGAAAGUGAACGGAGGUGGGAACCCUUCAGGGUGCACCAUCGACCGAUCCUGAUGUCUUCGGAUGGAUUUGAGUAAGAGCAUAGCUGUUGGGACCCGAAAGAUGGUGAACUAUGCCUGAAUAGGGUGAAGCCAGAGGAAACUCUGGUGGAGGCUCGCAGCGGUUCUGACGUGCAAAUCGAUCGUCAAAUUUGGGUAUAGGGGCGAAAGACUAAUC